Molecule: long non-coding RNA, 1387 nt
Organism: Diceros bicornis minor
Lineage: Eukaryota; Metazoa; Chordata; Mammalia; Perissodactyla; Rhinocerotidae
Exons: 9
Source: RefSeq, a predicted model, not a curated record
AAGGUGUGAGUGAACAUGGUAGGCAGCUUCUGACAUGACCCCCAAUGAACCCCACUUUUGGGAUCCAUGUUCUUGUAUAGUCCCGUCCCCGAGUAUGAGCUGGACCUAAUGACUUGCUUUUAGUGAACAGAAAAUGGCAAAAGUGGUGGAAUAUCACUUCUGUUUGGGGUUGUUAGCCUUCUCUUUCUUGUGUUCUCUCUUGCUUCCUGCCAUGUUGUGAGAUGCUCUGUGGAGAGGCCCACGUAGCAAGGAACUGAGGGCGACCUCUAGCCAACAGCUCAUGAGAAACUGAGUCCAAUGACCUGUUAGGAUCUGAAUCCUGCCAACAACCACCUAAAUGAGCUUGAAUACUGGAUGCAGAUGACAGUGAUGAACUAGGGGAUGGCAGAGCCACCAAAUGGAGUGAUCAUGGACACCUGAAUCAUCACAUGGAAGAGACCUCCUUACCCUCUUUGAGCUCCUGGUGGGGUCCUGCUUUUCCAGCAUCCAUGUAAGGGGGAGGUGAUGAGGAGGUAAUCGAACUCCAGUUCUGCUGGCAGGUAUAACUCCCUCCAACCCCGGACUCAGAAGGACCUGGGAGACUCAUUUAUUAGACAGAUCUUUAGUGACUUCCUACAAUGUGCCAACGUAUUAGGGGCAGAAGAUUCACCAGGGACAACGACAGAGUCCCUCUGUGAGCUUAAACUGUGAUGAGAAAGACAAGACAAUGAAAAAUUCCAAGACAAAGAAUAUCUCCCAAUACUCUUAAAUAUAGAUAUCUGGACUGAAUUGAACUUAGAUGACAAUUGCUGUCAAGAUUCUGGAACUCAGAAUGGGAAAUCCAGAAGGCAGCAGAAGUGAGGUUGUACGAGUUCCAACCCGAGGCCUUGAAGCUUCCAUUCUCAUGGUGGGAAUCCUGAUGGAGAAUGAAAGUCCAUGUGGAGAGAGGCCCCAGCUGCCUCUGCCCCCCGCAGCCAUCUCAGUUGAGACCCACACCUGUGAGUGAACCCAGCUACGAACAGGGAAAACCCACUGCUUGAUUGCGAAUCUUCAGAAGCAUCCAAAGAUAGCUGCCACGUGACCCAGAAUACCAUUCCAGCCUUCAACUAUGCAUAUGUCUGCCGACUGUUGAGGAAAAACACCACAACGUGGCUCCUCUCAUAAGACCACGUUUCAGAAAGUUGGCCAGAGGAGAUGUUGGAGAUGGGAGGCAAAUAUUCCAAUAAACAGAUUUCUUUGAAAUUAUGUUUACGUUAGUCUCAUCAGUGCUUUACUUCUGACUAAAUGUCUUUUGAAUUCUUGGGUUUUUAAAAUGAAGAAAAAAAAUAAACUGUUGGAAAUGGUGUAGUUUCUGGAUAAGGGAAGUCCUAGAGACGGCCGUCCGCUAGUGGCCCAGGGCGAGGCUCAG